CCUCAUCUCAGCAGUGCGUCAUCCCUCCCCCUAUCAGCGUUCUCUCAGCGGGUGCACAAGCAAGCACCCAAAUAUACGUAAACACGGCCGAGGUGUGUUCUGAAGACGGCACGGGCACGUGUCUUUACUGCGCGAGGGUCACUUGUGUGUGCUACCCUCGACUGGUGAGUGCAGUGUAGAAGAGCCGGUCGAUUCGCUCGCAAGCUUGCCGCGAGCAGAUGGAGAGGGCUGUUAGGGAUGAGGCAACGUACGCUGCACUUAAGGAGUGUCGGCCUCAAAACUGGGGGCCCCUGCGCACUAUCACUACCGUUGACAGCUAUGUGGGCGGGACGAGGCAGGCGGACGCCGCCUCCUACCCCGUGCUGGAGGGUCCUGGAACACUACGCUCUCGAACGGGUUACGAAUUCACUGGUUUGCUGCACGAAGGCGAGGCCUCUGGUGCCGGCGUUCAGAGUUGGAGCGACGGCCGCAUAGUCUGUGGAACGUUCCAGCACGGCACUGUGACGGGGAGCGGCUCCUUGCACUGGCCCAACGGGGAUGUGUACACAGGGGACCUCUGCGAAAGUGUGCGUCACGGUCACGGCACCCUCGUCUCUGACGCCGGCAGGUCACGGUACACUGGCGACUGGCAGAGUGGGAUGCGGCACGGACACGGAACCCAAGCCUACCCUGAUGGGAGCGUGUACGAGGGGGAGUGGCAGCACGAUGCACGCCACGGCAACGGCUGCAUGCAAUAUAGCACGGGCGACAUCUAUGAAGGUGCAUGGAGCGACGGCACGCCAUGCGGGAACGGGGUGAUGGGCUGGGUAGACCGCAGCGGCUGCUUUUACCGAGAGUUGUACAAGGGCGAGUGGAAGGCAGGGUGUCCGGACGGCAGCGGCGUGUCCACGUACAUGGCCAUGCCAAAGGAUUGCCUCCUUGGGUCAUCCUCCACUCCGCUUGUGGCACCGUCCCAGUACGCAGCGCCUGCCGAGGCACUCUUGAACGUGUACGUUGGUGCGUACCGCCGCGGGCAACGCCACGGCCGAGGCAUUUUCUACUACGCAGACGGCAGCUGUUACGAGGGCGGGUGGGCUGCGGGGUUCAAAAGCGGAGAAGGUCACUUCACCUCUGCGGUCGGAGAGGUGCAGGAGAUGAACGCAACAUCGGAGCAAGACACAGAAGCUGCAGAAGAAGCAGUGGCGGCGCUGACUCUGGAGGAAUCCGCAUCUUCCGUGGUACCCUCCGUGUCACCUCACGGCUUGGGCAACCUCCUCGAGACCGAGGACGAUCUGCAGGUGACAAUGCACCUCCUUUUACUACGCUACAAUACAACGCUGAAAACCCUCUUCAAGGACUACAGCCAUCGAAGUGCGCAUGUGGCCUUGCCUACAACGCGCAGUGACUGGUGGCAGCACCGGUUGCCUGGUCGUAUGACACUCACGCAGUGCCUAUGCCUCCUUCACGACGCACACAUACUUGGCUCGCACUUCUCGAUUGGUGCCGCGUUGCGCGCAGUAGCCGAGGUGCUGCGCGUCGAGGCUGAGACGUGGAAAGGUGCAAGGGCGGCAACCACCCUGGCGUCCACCCUCACCUUAGUGAACGAGGCGGAGGGCACUCUCAACUACCGUCAAUUCUGCGAGUGGCUCAUCCGCGUCGCUGUGACGGUGAAUGGCGGGCCAACGUGCACGACAGUGAAGGCGAAGGUGAGUGCCUUGCUGGAUGGUUCGCUCAGCCGCGUCUCCGGGGCAUCGUCACGCGCGGUAGCUGCCACCUUUCUGCCCAACUCUCUACAGCACAUGGAGGACGUGCAGCAUCACCUCAGUUCGCUGAAGCGCUGCUACGCCGAGCUUCAAAGCGUGAAGGACGGGGGUAGAUACGGUGUGUCUCUGCGCUCCUGCCUGAUAGCCAUGAAGGGAACGCUUGCGAAGUGCCAGAUUAGCUCUUCAUGUGUCCUCGAGAAGCUGGCGUGGCUGAAGGAUGAGUCGGAGUCGAGAUACAGCACCGCUCCGAACGCGAAAACCGUCGCUGAAGAGCCAUCCUUGGCACAGGAGAUGGUGACCUCCGCCAUGGCGAGGAACAGGCAAGUGCAGCAACUGGACGAGGAUGCCGGAACGGAGCAGUCGUUUGUGGAGUUUGUGGAGACGGUAAUGACGGUUGUCGAGGCUGCGCGUCAUCGCGGCUGCACGAAUGCGGAUGCGUUGCUGGUCGACCUUCAGCGCCGUUUGUUUGCCCAGUAGAAGCACGAUUCGUGUGAGGCUAUCCUUUUCGCGUUUCCUGCUUCCGUUUGCGGGCUCCCGAUGCGGUGGUGGCACCAAUCAUGUGAAGGCGUGUAUGUGCGCCUGUGCGUCAUUCGAAGAUGUAUCUGAGACUUUACUUGGUGCAUGCCGACUACCGCUUCACGUAUGUAUAGUUGAGCCCUCACUCUUUGCUCCUGCUCUACGACGACGACUCUUAUGUUUGACACCGUUGAAUGGAGGUGGGGGCGUGGCGGCCCCCUUUCGCUCAGAGGGCGACUCCGAAUCUGUGUUUGCAGGGGAGCGCACUUGUGUCCGCCUUCCGUCAUCUCAAGCAACACAAC
Molecule: unclassified non-coding RNA, 2560 nt
Filed under: Leishmania donovani
Lineage: Eukaryota; Euglenozoa; Kinetoplastea; Trypanosomatida; Trypanosomatidae
Description: gene:LdHU3.11.0100(CDS-product:MORN_repeat_putati ve)
Source: RNAcentral